RNAcentral lists this long non-coding RNA (2399 nucleotides) under Sus scrofa (pig). Its description in RNAcentral is "lncRNA (ENSSSCG00050028768.1)". The record is from RNAcentral. Lineage: Eukaryota; Metazoa; Chordata; Mammalia; Artiodactyla; Suidae.
CAAUGAAUUUUAUUACAUGUGUAGUUGUACAAUGAUCAUCACAACCCAAUUUAAUAGCAUUUUUCUCCCAAACUCCAGCCCAUGUCCCCACCUCCCAAACUUUCUCAUUUAGAAACCAUAAGUUUUUCAAAGUCUGUGAGUCAGUAUCUGUUCUGCAAAGAAGUUCACUGUACCCCCUUUUUAGAUUCUACAUGUAAGUGAUAGCAUAUGAUGUUGGUGUCUCACUGUCUGCCUAAUUUCACUUAGCAUGAUAAUUUCUAGGUCUAUCCAUGUUGCUGCAAAUGCUGUUAUUUUCUUCCUUUUAAUGGCUGAAUAGUAUUCCAUUGUGUAUACAUACCACAUCUUGUUUAUCCAUUCUUCUGUCGAUGGUUGUUAAAACUUCACUACUGUUCCUAAUGUGUAAAUUCAGGAAAAGGUAAAUGACAAGCAAUGUGCCUUACCUAGUAUCACUUUCACAUUUCCCUAUGUCAAUAUUCUGCAUAGAAGUUGCCGUAGUGGAGUUCCCAUUGUGGUGCAGUGGUUAACGAAUCCGACUAGGAACCAUGAGGUUGUGGGUUCGGUCCCUGCCCUUGCUCAGUGGGUUAACGAUCCGGCGUUGCUGUGAGCUGUGGUGUAGGUUACAGACGCGGCUCGGAUCCCACAUUGCGGUGGCUCUGGUGUAUGCCGGUGGCUACAGCUCCAAUUAGACCCCUAGCCUGGGAACCUCCAUAUGCAGCGGAAGCAGCCCAAGAAAUGGAAAAAAAAAAGACAAAAAAAAANNNNNNNNNNNNNNNNNNNNNNNNNNNNNNNNNNNNNNNNNNNNNNNNNNNNACUGUAUAUAUAUAUAUAUAUAUAUAUUUUUUUUUACUGACUUGACUACACCAGCUUCCUGAAUAUAAGAAGUUUAUUCACUAUUAUAUAUCGAGUGAGUACAUGCAUACACAUUAUGCACGUAUUUAUCAAUAAAUAAUUGAUAAAUGAAUACAUUAUAAUGAACAUUUAAUUAUUAAAGGCUAUAUAUGGACAAGAUUCAUGUUUGCAAGUGAGCUUACAUCAUAUAAUCACAAUCAAUUAGCUUUGAUUACAUAAAAUUAAUAGACCAUACCUCCUUUCUUUCCAUUGAGGAAUAUAUAUGUUUCUAAUUACCUUAGUUAUAUCAUAGCAUAGUUAUAUCAAUUAAGACUUAAGAAUUAAUCUUUAAAGGCAUGAACUUUGCUGUAUUUUCAAAUUAACAGUGGUUAAUUUGUAUAGCAGUUAUGAAGAAUUAGGAUGUAAAAUUUAACAUGGAAUUUUCACACAUGGAUGCUAUGUAUUUUUUUUAUUGGUAGUCUACAUGAUCAACUCAGGAAGCCACUGAAAUGGCCAAAAUCAUGAGUCAGGUGAAUAAUAACAUAUCUCCAUAGAUUUUCUAUAAGUAGAGGAACAGAAGAUUUUAGGUCCCAUAAAAAGACAUUGAGGCUUACUUUCAGAAGUAAAGUAGUAUUUCUCUUGUAAACAGCAUAGAAUUUACUGUGUUUCUUUUAAGAAUAUUUGAUCAAUUGUUGAGGACUCUGCUUGGUGAAUAUCAUAUGACCUAUAGCUCCCUGUCUUUAUAUUAUUAUUUUUCAAAGCUUUAGAAUUUGGGGAUUCUUAUACCCUAAAUUUAAUAGUAGAUUUCUUUUCUUUUUUUUCCCUUAGUAUAAUGAUUUACAUGUGACAAAUUUGUCCUUCGAGAUUCUCAACUCUUUAAGUAUAUUGUUAAGUGCCCCAUAUACACACAAAUACAUAGCUCACCUAUAAUACUAUUAAGUGUGCUUAAUAACCACAAUCUGUUUCAAAUACACUAAUGCAAUAAUUACAGCUUAAAUUAUCCAGUGAGUGAUUAAAAGUAUAUGGUACCAUAUCUAUCUGACAUACUGUAUUCAACAUUAAUCUCUAUGUUUCUUAGCUUAGCAUAAAUUUGUAUACCAGAUGCCUUCUUGUAAUUAACACAUUGGGAUUUGGGAGCAGUAGAUUUUGCUGGUAACAAACUUCCCAUCAAGUCGACAUCUGUGAUUUAUACCUCCAACUCACUUUCAAUAUAUUUACAUAAUCAGUUCACUUUAAGCCCAGAUUAUACAUUCUUCUUACAUUUUUAUAAGCAGUAUCCCCUAAAGAUGGUUAAAGAGUAAAUCAAAGUGAAGUUUCUUUCUCCUCUCUUUCUAAUCAAAACACUUAUCAUGAACAUAUAAUCAAAUUUGCUGAUUACUUGCAUUUAUUUUAAAAGAAAAAAAAAUGUAUUCUGAUAAAUGGUAUAAAGACCAUAAUAGAGAUACUUUACUCUAAUUAGUAUCAACAUGAUCAAAUAACUUUUAUGUGCACAGACUUCCAUUUUAAAUAUAUUUUUAAGUUUUAAUAGAAUUUGGUCUUAAAUCAUUCUUUUGAAGCAUGUUUAGAUGUUA